Pelobates cultripes (western spadefoot toad) is the source of this 216-nucleotide non-coding RNA. Lineage: Eukaryota; Metazoa; Chordata; Amphibia; Anura; Pelobatidae. The record is from the annotation of a GenBank genome assembly.
AUUUCACGGUUUAGUUUUAAAAUAACAUCUAUUCUUAUCUGACUGUUUUCUUUGAGACUUUUUAAUUAAUUUGCAACUGACUCUUUUUGCCUGCUAAUUGCUUAAUAUCAAGCCAAAUACGAUAGACAUUAGUUGAAGAGGUUCCGGAUACCAAUGAUAAAAGCUCUGUAGCAGUUAACUGAAAUGUAAUUUUUGAUUGCAACCAACUUUGUCAGC